AUUCCAGCUCCAAUAGCGUAUAUUUAAGUUGUUGCGGUUAAAAAGCUCGUAGUUGGAUUUCGGGCGUGGAGGUUCGGUCCGCCGUUUCGGUGUGCACUGUCUUUCUGCGUCUUUCUGUCGGGGACGCGCUUCUGGCCUUAAUUGGCUGGGACGUGGAUUCGACGAGGUUACUUUGAAAAGAUUAGAGUGUUCAAAGCAAGCUAAAGCUCUGAAUACAUUAGCAUGGAAUAACGCGAGAGGACUCGGUCCUUAUUUUGUUGGUCUUCAAGGAUGGAGUAAUGAUUAAGAGGGACAGUUGGGGGCUUUCGUAUUUCAUUGCUAGAGGUGAAAUUCUUGGAUUUACGAAAGACGAACUUCUGCGAAAGCAUUUGCCAAGGAUGUUUUCAUCG
RNAcentral lists this ribosomal RNA (389 nucleotides) under Pycnococcaceae sp. Its description in RNAcentral is "partial small subunit ribosomal RNA". It matches the Rfam family "Eukaryotic small subunit ribosomal RNA", at positions 582 to 975 of the family's 1831-position model. The record is from RNAcentral. Lineage: Eukaryota; Viridiplantae; Chlorophyta; Pseudoscourfieldiophyceae; Pseudoscourfieldiales; Pycnococcaceae.